GAACUACUUGUGAAUUUGUGAUGAUCGUCUUGCAUUUUGUUCAUGUGCCACUGCUUGAAUCUGUCCAGUAUUCUGCACGGAUUGUAUGAUAAUCUCCUGGCCAGGGGUGGUGGUACCUCAACAUGUAAAGUAAAUAAGAAAUUUGCUGCAGCAGUGUUAUAAUUGCAAAUCCCCCCAGCGGUACAGCCAGACUGACAAAAGUAUAAUUGGUUUCCUCUCCAUC
This 223-nucleotide small RNA is filed under the name Oryza sativa Japonica Group (Japanese rice). RNAcentral's name for it is "Os12g0468600". The record is from RNAcentral. Lineage: Eukaryota; Viridiplantae; Streptophyta; Magnoliopsida; Poales; Poaceae.